UAGGGAAUCUUCCACAAUGGACGAAAGUCUGAUGGAGCAACGCCGCGUGAGUGAAGAAGGUUUUCGGAUCGUAAAGCUCUGUUGUUGGUGAAGAAGGAUAGAGGCAGUAACUGGUCUUUAUUUGACGGUAAUCAACCAGAAAGUCACGGCUAACUACGUGGCAG
Molecule: ribosomal RNA, 164 nt
Filed under: uncultured bacterium
Lineage: Bacteria
Description: partial 16S rRNA
Rfam family: Bacterial small subunit ribosomal RNA
Source: RNAcentral